This 301-nucleotide ribosomal RNA is filed under the name uncultured bacterium. Its description in RNAcentral is "partial 16S ribosomal RNA". It matches the Rfam family "Bacterial small subunit ribosomal RNA", at positions 509 to 807 of the family's 1533-position model. The record is from RNAcentral.
CAGUAGCCGCGGGAAUACGAAGGGUGCAAGCGUUAAUCGGAAUUACUGGGCGUAAAGCGCGCGUAGGCGGCUUUUUAAGUCAGAGGUGAAAGCCCGGGGCUCAACCCCGGAAUUGCCUUUGAAACUGGAAAGCUAGAAUCUUGGAGAGGUCAGUGGAAUUCCGAGUGUAGAGGUGAAAUUCGUAGAUAUUCGGAAGAACACCAGUGGCGAAGGCGACUGACUGGACAAGUAUUGACGCUGAGGUGCGAAAGCGUGGGGAGCAAACAGGAUUAGAGACCCGCGUAGUCCCUGUCUCUUAUAC